This 253-nucleotide ribosomal RNA is filed under the name uncultured bacterium. RNAcentral's name for it is "partial 16S ribosomal RNA". It matches the Rfam family "Bacterial small subunit ribosomal RNA", at positions 524 to 776 of the family's 1533-position model. The record is from RNAcentral.
UACGUAGGGUGCGAGCGUUAAUCGGAAUUACUGGGCGUAAAGCGUGCGCAGGCGGUUCUGUUAGACCGGUGUGAAAUCCCCGGGCUUAACCUGGGAACUGCAUUGGUGACUGCAGAGCUAGAGUGUGUCAGAGGGAGGUGGAAUUCCGCGUGUAGCAGUGAAAUGCGUAGAGAUGCGGAGGAACACCGAUGGCGAAGGCAGCCUCCUGGGAUAACACUGACGCUCAGGCACGAAAGCGUGGGGAGCAAACAGG